GCCGGGGUGCCCUAGCCCGGUAGGGGGGUGGCCUGCUAAGUCACUGGCCGAUGAGGCCUCGCGGGUUCAAAUCCCGCCCCCGGCG
Molecule: transfer RNA, 85 nt
Filed under: Pyrodictium sp.
Lineage: Archaea; Thermoproteati; Thermoproteota; Thermoprotei; Desulfurococcales; Pyrodictiaceae
Description: tRNA-Ser
Rfam family: tRNA
About the family: Transfer RNA (tRNA) molecules are approximately 80 nucleotides in length. Their secondary structure includes four short double-helical elements and three loops (D, anti-codon, and T loops).
Source: RNAcentral